CGUUGCUCGGAAUUACUGGGCGUAAAGGGCGCGUAGGCGGAUUAACAAGUUGGAGGUGAAAGCCCAGGGCUCAACCCUGGAAUAGCCUUCAAAACUGUUAAUCUGGAGUAUGGAAGAGGUAAGUGGAAUUCCGAGUGUAGAGGUGAAAUUCGUAGAUAUUCGGAGGAACACCGGUGGCGAAGGCGACUUACUGGUCCAUUACUGACGCUGAGGCGCGAAAGCGUGGGGAGCAAACAGGAUUAGAUACCCUGGUAGUCCACGCUGUAAACGAUGAUUGCUAGUUGUCAGGCAGUAUACUGUUUGGUGACGCAGCUAACGCAUUAAGCAAUCCGCCUGGGGAGUACGGUCGCAAGAUUAAAACUCAAAGGAAUUGACGGGGGGCCGCACAAGCGGNGGAGCAUGUGGUUUAAUUCGANGCAACGCNCA
Molecule: ribosomal RNA, 426 nt
Filed under: uncultured bacterium
Lineage: Bacteria
Description: bacterial SSU rRNA
Rfam family: Bacterial small subunit ribosomal RNA
Source: RNAcentral